This 484-nucleotide ribosomal RNA is filed under the name uncultured bacterium. Its description in RNAcentral is "partial 16S ribosomal RNA". It matches the Rfam family "Bacterial small subunit ribosomal RNA", at positions 30 to 507 of the family's 1533-position model. The record is from RNAcentral.
AUUGAACGCUGGCGGCAGGCCUAACACAUGCAAGUCGAGCGGAUGAAGGGAGCUUGCUCCUGGAUUCAGCGGCGGACGGGUGAGUAAUGCCUAGGAAUCUGCCUGGUAGUGGGGGAUAACGUCCGGAAACGGGCGCUAAUACCGCAUACGACCUGAGGGAGAAAGUGGGGGAUCUUCGGACCUCACGCUAUCAGAUGAGCCUAGGUCGGAUUAGCUAGUUGGUGGGGUAAAGGCCUACCAAGGCGACGAUCCGUAACUGGUCUGAGAGGAUGAUCAGUCACACUGGAACUGAGACACGGUCCAGACUCCUACGGGAGGCAGCAGUGGGGAAUAUUGGACAAUGGGCGAAAGCCUGAUCCAGCCAUGCCGCGUGUGUGAAGAAGGUCUUCGGAUUGUAAAGCACUUUAAGUUGGGAGGAAGGGCAAUAAGUUAAUACCUUGCUGUUUUGACGUUACCAACAGAAUAAGCACCGGCUAACUUCGUG